AGGUGGCGGGCGUGCUACACAUGCAAGUCGAACGCCCUUUGUCUCGCAAGAGAGGGAGGGAGUGGCGGACGGGUGAGUAACACAUGGGUGACCUACCCCGCAGUGAGGAAUACCGGCGAGAAAUCGCCGACAAGACCGCAUAGGCUCUCUUUGGUCGAGCCAAGAGAGCAAAGUCUCGCAAGAGACGCUGAGGGAUGGGCCUGUGGCCGAUUAGCUAGUUGGGGGGGUAAGAGCCUCCCAAGGCCACGAUCGGUAGCUGGUCUGAGAGGACGAACAGCCACACUGGGAUUGAGAACGGCCCAGACUCCUACGGGGGGCAGCAGUGAGGAAUUUUCCGCAAUGGGCGCAAGCCUGACGGAG
Molecule: ribosomal RNA, 360 nt
Filed under: uncultured bacterium
Lineage: Bacteria
Description: bacterial SSU rRNA
Rfam family: Bacterial small subunit ribosomal RNA
Source: RNAcentral